AAGUCGUAACAAGGUUUCCGUAGGUGAACCUGCGGAAGGAUCAUUAUUGAAACUUCUUUGGAAAUAGUACUGUUGCUGGCCUUGUAAUGAGGUAUGUGCACGUCUAUUACCAAUCUAUUCAUCCACCUGUGCACUUUUUGUAGGAGUUCAUUUGAGGCUAUUUUGUACUUGUGCAAUUUGGCUUUGAAAGGCUUCUAUGUUCUUAUAAACCCAUUAGUAUGUCUCUGAAUGUUUUUUAUUGGGACUUGAUUGGCCCUUUAAACUUGUACAACUUUUAGCAACGGAUCUCUUGGCUCUCC
This 299-nucleotide unclassified non-coding RNA is filed under the name Gymnopus junquilleus. Its description in RNAcentral is "partial internal transcribed spacer region". The stretch from base 1 to 46 matches the Rfam family "Eukaryotic small subunit ribosomal RNA", at positions 1786 to 1831 of the family's 1831-position model. Lineage: Eukaryota; Fungi; Basidiomycota; Agaricomycetes; Agaricales; Omphalotaceae. The record is from RNAcentral.